This 1229-nucleotide ribosomal RNA is filed under the name Staphylococcus hominis. RNAcentral describes it as "partial 23S ribosomal RNA". It matches the Rfam family "Bacterial large subunit ribosomal RNA", at positions 153 to 1384 of the family's 2925-position model. Lineage: Bacteria; Bacillati; Bacillota; Bacilli; Caryophanales; Staphylococcaceae. The record is from RNAcentral.
GACAAGUGAAUUCAUAGCUUGUCAGAAGGCAGACCCGGAGAACUGAAACAUCUUAGUACCCGGAGGAAGAGAAAGAAAAUUCGAUUCCCUGAGUAGCGGCGAGCGAAACGGGAAGAGCCCAAACCAAUAAGCUUGCUUAUUGGGGUUGUAGGACACUCUAUACGGAGUUACAAAGGAAUAUAUUAAACGAAUCAUCUGGAAAGUUGAAUCAAAGAAGGUAAUAAUCCUGUAGUUGAAAAUAUAUUCUCUCUUGAGUGGAUCCUGAGUACGACGGAGCACGUGAAAUUCCGUCGGAAUCUGGGAGGACCAUCUCCUAAGGCUAAAUACUCUCUAGUGACCGAUAGUGAACCAGUACCGUGAGGGAAAGGUGAAAAGUACCCCGGAAGGGGAGUGAAAGAGAACUUGAAACCGUGUGCUUACAAGUAGUCAGAGCCCGUUAAUGGGUGAUGGCGUGCCUUUUGUAGAAUGAACCGGCGAGUUACGAUCUGAUGCAAGGUUAAGCAGAAAAUGUGGAGCCGUAGCGAAAGCGAGUCUGAAUAGGGCGUAUAGUAUUUGGUCGUAGACCCGAAACCAGGUGAUCUACCCAUGGUCAGGUUGAAGUUCAGGUAACACUGAAUGGAGGACCGAACCGACUUACGUUGAAAAGUGAGCGGAUGAACUGUGGGUAGCGGAGAAAUUCCAAUCGAACUUGGAGAUAGCUGGUUCUCUCCGAAAUAGCUUUAGGGCUAGCCUCAAGUGAUGAUUAUUGGAGGUAGAGCACUGUUUGGACGAGGGGCCCCUCUCGGGUUACCGAAUUCAGACAAACUCCGAAUGCCAAUUAAUUUAACUUGGGAGUCAGAACAUGGGUGAUAAGGUCCGUGUUCGAAAGGGAAACAGCCCAGACCACCAGCUAAGGUCCCAAAAUAUAUGUUAAGUGGAAAAGGAUGUGGCGUUGCCCAGACAACUAGGAUGUUGGCUUAGAAGCAGCCAUCAUUUAAAGAGUGCGUAAUAGCUCACUAGUCGAGUGACACUGCGCCGAAAAUGUACCGGGGCUAAACAUAUUACCGAAGCUGUGGAUUGUCCUUUGGACAAUGGUAGGAGAGCGUUCUAAGGGCGUUGAAGCAUGAUCGCAAGGACAUGUGGAGCGCUUAGAAGUGAGAAUGCCGGUGUGAGUAGCGAAAGACGGGUGAGAAUCCCGUCCACCGAUUGACUAAGGUUUCCAGAGGAAGGCUCGUCCGCUCUGGGUUAGU